CCACCUGACCCCAUGCCGAACUCAGAAGUGAAACGCCGUAGCGCCGAUGGUAGUGUGGGGUCUCCCCAUGCGAGAGUAGGGAACUGUCAGGC
RNAcentral lists this ribosomal RNA (92 nucleotides) under Escherichia coli. Lineage: Bacteria; Pseudomonadati; Pseudomonadota; Gammaproteobacteria; Enterobacterales; Enterobacteriaceae. The record is from RNAcentral. RNAcentral also lists the same sequence under 1 other name.